GCGGGUGUGGCGGAAUGGCAGACGCGCCAGAUUUAGGUUCUGGUGGGGCAACCCGUGAAGGUUCAAGUCCUUUCACCCGCACCA
RNAcentral lists this transfer RNA (84 nucleotides) under Eggerthellaceae bacterium. Its description in RNAcentral is "tRNA-Leu". It matches the Rfam family "tRNA". Rfam says of the family: Transfer RNA (tRNA) molecules are approximately 80 nucleotides in length. Their secondary structure includes four short double-helical elements and three loops (D, anti-codon, and T loops). Lineage: Bacteria; Bacillati; Actinomycetota; Coriobacteriia; Eggerthellales; Eggerthellaceae. RNAcentral also lists the same sequence under 1 other name. The record is from RNAcentral.